CCCUAGCCCUGAUGGUAGCGGCAUCCUUUUUUCUUUUUGCAAAAAAGGAAAAAGAUACAGCGGACAGCAGGUUCCCGG
Molecule: small RNA, 78 nt
Filed under: Epilithonimonas arachidiradicis
Lineage: Bacteria; Pseudomonadati; Bacteroidota; Flavobacteriia; Flavobacteriales; Weeksellaceae
Description: Chryseobacterium arachidiradicis Flavo-1 RNA
Rfam family: Flavo-1 RNA
Source: RNAcentral